RNAcentral lists this ribosomal RNA (424 nucleotides) under uncultured bacterium. RNAcentral describes it as "bacterial SSU rRNA". It matches the Rfam family "Bacterial small subunit ribosomal RNA", at positions 355 to 772 of the family's 1533-position model. The record is from RNAcentral.
UGGGGAAUCUUGCGCAAUGGGCGAAAGCCUGACGCAGCGACGCCGCGUGAGUGAUGAAGGCCUUCGGGUUGUAAAGCUCUGUGGGGAGAGACGAAUAAGUGGGGUCGAACAGGCUCCAUGAUGACGGUAUCUCCUUAGCAAGCCCCGGCUAACUCUGUGCCAGCAGCCGCGGUAAUACAGAGGGUGCAAACGUUGUUCGGAAUUACUGGGCGUAAAGCGUGUGUAGGCGGCCUCGUAGGUCGGAUGUGAAAGCUCUCGGCUCAACCGGGAAAGUGCAUUCGAAACCACAAGGCUUGAGUGUCGGAGAGGAAGGCGGAAUUGUCGGUGUAGAGGUGAAAUUCGUAGAUAUCGACAGGAACACCUGCGGCGAAAGCGGCCUUCUGGACGAACACUGACGCUGAGACACGAAAGCGUGGGGAGCAAA